GACGAACGCUGGCGGCGUGCUUAACACAUGCAAGUCGAACGGAAAGGCCCUGCUUUUGUGGGGUGCUCGAGUGGCGAACGGGUGAGUAACACGUGAGUAACCUGCCCUUGACUUUGGGAUAACUUCAGGAAACUGGGGCUAAUACCGGAUAGGAGCUCCUGCUGCAUGGUGGGGGUUGGAAAGUUUCGGCGGUUGGGGAUGGACUCGCGGCUUAUCAGCUUGUUGGUGGGGUAGUGGCUUACCAAGGCUUUGACGGGUAGCCGGCCUGAGAGGGUGACCGGCCACAUUGGGACUGGGAUACGGCCCAGACUCCUACGGGAGGCAGGCGUGGGGAAUAUUGCACAAUGGGCGGAAGCCCGAUGGAGCCACGCCGGGUGCGGGAUGACGGCCCUCGGGUUGUAAACCGCUUUCGGCUGUGACGAAGCGUGAGUGACGGUAAUGGGUAAAGAAGCACCGGCUAACUACGUG
RNAcentral lists this ribosomal RNA (468 nucleotides) under uncultured bacterium. Its description in RNAcentral is "partial 16S ribosomal RNA". It matches the Rfam family "Bacterial small subunit ribosomal RNA", at positions 28 to 507 of the family's 1533-position model. The record is from RNAcentral.